This is an RNA transcript of Myzus persicae (green peach aphid), 2639 nucleotides long. It is a transcript of the gene named protein lozenge-like, with no coding region annotated. Lineage: Eukaryota; Metazoa; Arthropoda; Insecta; Hemiptera; Aphididae. The transcript is spliced from 6 exons. The record is from RefSeq and is a predicted model, not a curated record.
UCCUUCUUCCGUUUCUUAUUGCCUCGCCACCGCCGUCGCCGCCACCGCCACCGCCAACGCCGCCGACCCGGGCCAGCGCGGUCUUCCGCAGAGCACAGACACGCACGCACGCAACAAACUCCGCCCACGGCGGGGCGCGAACACCUUCCGCCGCCGGCCCCGUCCUCUUUCGCGGCCAACGGCGGUAAACCAAAGCUCCGCGGCGGCCGCAACCUCCGACCGACGAACCGGCCGCGAAAAAAAAACGCUUUUUUAACAGUCAGUCGCGCCGGUCCGCCCGUCCCCGACGACACGCACACCGCAGCGGCCGCACCACCGUCGUCGUUGACGUCUUCGUAGUAUUCGCGGUUUUUUUUCCCGUCUCGUCGCGUGAUUAUUUCGUUUCCGUCUCGUCACCGAACAUGCACCUGUCGGUUCCAAUGAGGAACCGCGACGGUUUCCUCAAGGCCGACGUGCUGGCAGAAAGGACGCUGGACAGUCUCCUGGCUGAACACCCCGGCGAACUGGUCCGCACCGGUUGCCCGCACGUUGUGUGCACCGUGCUGCCUACUCAUUGGCGUUCCAACAAGACGCUGCCGGUUGCCUUCAAGGUGGUGGCGCUCGGUGAGGUGCCGGACGGCACGCCGGUCACCAUACGCGCCGGCAACGACGAAAACUUUUGCGCGGAACUGCGGAACUGCACAGCUCUGAUGAAGAACCAGGUGGCCAAGUUCAACGAUUUGCGGUUCGUCGGUCGAUCAGGUCGAGGAAAAAGUUUUACGCUGACUAUAAUGUUGAAUUCGUGUCCACCGCAAGUAGCCACUUAUUCCAAAGCAAUCAAAGUCACAGUGGACGGUCCCAGAGAGCCGAGGUCGAAAACCAGCCUAUUAUUUAACUCGUUUGCAGGAAACCAAGGGUUCCAUCCCUUCCACUUUGGACCUAGGCCUUUCCCGUUUGGUACGCCACUGGAUCCCAAUAGAAUUGCAGAAUUGCCGUUAAAAUUAUCAGGUCUUGCCCACUCUUGGGGCACAUCGUUUUCCAGAGCUUUACCGUCGACCGCAUACCCCCCUUAUUUGGCUAACAACUGCGGUCCGCCGACUUUUCAACACUCGAACUUCACCAACAUUUUUCCGUACAACGGAACGACCACUGAAGUGAUUCAACAUCAGACGAUUAACACUGGCACAGAUGGCAAUAACAGCAGCAGCAGGACCGCGACGGAACCGUUGGGACCGAUCAGCGUCAACGUGAGCGUGGAUAGCGCGACGACCAGAAGCCACAGGACCGGGGUCCGGGGUCACAGGGGCUUAUUGACCACGGUGUCUGGGAGCGGAGCGCACAAGCGGCAUCACCAUCAUCACCACCAUCACCACAAGCGACAUCGGGACAACCGGUCCGAGAAGAAUGCAGCGGUGGCGGUUGCCGCGGACCGUUUAUCACCGACGGCCAUUGCGGCGUCGGCAGCCACAGCUAUAACUCACAACGACAACAACAACAACAACGGAGGUAGCGGUGCCGACGAACACGACAAGAGUAAACGACGUGCGACCGACGAUGACCAUCGCGUUCGGCGCGCGGCCAGGACGCCUCCAUCGCCGCCGCCGCCUCCGUCAACUCUACGACCGCCUCCGCCCGCACAGCCCGUGGCUCAGCUACCGCCGCAUAUUAUGGCCGCGGCCGCAGCCACCGUGUCGCCGCGAUCGCUCCACCCGUCCGCGUCCGCGCCCGCGCCGCCAGUCACGCAACCUGUUCCGCUCGUGGCGCCAUCGCUGUUCAGCCUGUUCCUGAACGCACCACUCCUGCAACCUCACACGCAGUGGCUGUACUCUCAGCUGUACCCCAAUCCGUAUCUGAGCCACAUACGUAACACGAUGAUAUUCGACAACGAGUCGACGGCCGCUGCCGUGGCCGCGGCCGCGGCGCAGAAGGCCGCAGGCGGUACCAUCGGUGGCGUCGUCGACGACGGCGACGGGUCGGCUGCCGAGAACGAAUCUCCCAAAAAGUCACCCGCUGACGAUGUAGAAGCGGAGGUCGGCGGUGGCGGUGCGGACGACGAAGAUGACCGCGACGGAGCAGACACUUCGCCGGCAGUCUCACCAAAGACCACCGCCAAACAGACGGAUGUCUGGCGGCCGUAUUGAUACGUCCAGUCUGGCCCCUUAGUGAUAUCAAUGACGACGACGACGAUGAUUAUGUACAUUGUGAUGCUGAAGUAAUCGUGCACGCAUCGCCGUCUCCGAGCAAACUAUCACCACAGUCACCACCGCUACUACCUUAUGCUGUUUAAGUACCUAACCUAUAACCGUAUUCCCGACAUAGCCACGACGAGUCAAUUACUACCAUUUGAUGUAAUUAUAUAUUAUAUGUUGGGCCACCCUAUUAUUAUAGACUUUAGGUGUUAUAAAAUAAAUCAUAAUAUACCUAUUGUGUAAAAAAAUAUAAUGUUAAAUAUUGUAUGUUUGUAUAGGUACAAUAACCUGCUCCUGUACCUGCGCAUCCAUUGUAACCUGGUAGUAGGUCAUGAUAAUGUUCCACUUACUACCGUUUUAUUAUUGUUUACUUUUUUUUGUCAACUGUGUUUUUUAAGUUUCAGUCUUAAGUGUACGAUAUUAUUAUAAAUUAUUAUUAUACGAAUAAAGAAAACAAUUAUUUGGUUGUUA